RNAcentral lists this ribosomal RNA (253 nucleotides) under uncultured bacterium. Its description in RNAcentral is "partial 16S ribosomal RNA". It matches the Rfam family "Bacterial small subunit ribosomal RNA", at positions 524 to 776 of the family's 1533-position model. The record is from RNAcentral.
GACAGAGGGGGCAAGCGUUGAUCGGAAUUACUGGGCGUAAAGGGCGCGUAGGCGGGAUGGCAAGUCGGUCGUGAAAUCCCUCGGCUCAACUGAGGAUCGUCGAUCGAUACUGCCGUUCUUGAGGAUUGCAGAGGAGACUGGAAUUCCCGGUGUAGCGGUGAAAUGUGUAGAGAUCGGGAGGAACACCGGUGGCGAAGGCGGGUCUCUGGGCAAUUCCUGACGCUGAGGCGCGAAAGCGUGGGGAGCAAACGGG